RNAcentral lists this ribosomal RNA (361 nucleotides) under uncultured Eubacteriales bacterium. RNAcentral describes it as "bacterial SSU rRNA". It matches the Rfam family "Bacterial small subunit ribosomal RNA", at positions 1 to 339 of the family's 1533-position model. The record is from RNAcentral. Lineage: Bacteria; Bacillati; Bacillota; Clostridia; Eubacteriales.
AGUAGUUUGAUCAGUGCUCAGGACGACGCUGGCGGCGUGCCUAACACAUGCAAGUCGAGCGGAGACAUGCGACGGAGAUGAAGUUUUCGGAUGGAGUCAAAGAUGUAUGUUUUAGCGGCGGACGGGUGAGUAACGCGUGAGCAACCUGUCCUUCACGAGGGGGAUAACACAGCGAAAGUUGUACUAAUACCGCAUAAGACCACAGAGUCACAUGGCUCAGGGGUCAAAGGAGCAAUCCGGUGAAGGGUGGGCUCGCGUCCGAUUAGAUAGUUGGUGAGGUAACGGCCCACCAAGUCGACGAUCGGUAGCCGACCUGAGAGGGUGAUCGGCCACAUUGGGACUGAGACACGGCCCAAACUCC